Molecule: ribosomal RNA, 253 nt
Filed under: uncultured bacterium
Lineage: Bacteria
Description: partial 16S ribosomal RNA
Rfam family: Bacterial small subunit ribosomal RNA
Source: RNAcentral
UACGGGGGGGGCAAGCGUUGUUCGGAAUUACUGGGCGUAAAGGGCUCGUAGGUGGCCAACUAAGUCAGACGUGAAAUCCCUCGGCUUAACCGGGGAACUGCGUCUGAUACUGGAAGGCUUGAGUGCGGGAGAGGGAUGUGGAAUUCCAGGUGUAGCGGUGAAAUGCGUAGAUAUCUGGAGGAACACCGGUGGCGAAGGCGGCAUCCUGGACCGACACUGACGCUGAGGCGCGAAAGCUAGGGUAGCAAACGGG